CGAGUUUCCAUAAUUUUUUUGAGUUCUGGGAACUAAUUAGAUUUUACAGUGUAUAAGCAUAAGUAUCCACACAGAACAGGCUUAAUUUUGACCUUAACAUGUGAACGAGGGCAAUACAAUUGAAGCAAAAGUAGAAAAUGAAAUGAGUAAGAACACACAUGCUGGAAAUUGAAACAAAUUCUGCCCAGCAACAUGACAUACCAGCGGUGGGAAGGGGGCGCUAUCUUUUCGCGCCACUGAGACAAAGGAGACAAAGAUGGAGGUUACUUCGCCUAUUAUGUUGUCAGACCUUACAGAGCAUUAUUAUGAUCCAGUCUCCCAUUGUGGAUUCCUAAACUGCGCAACCUUAGACGGAAUCUCGACCAGGGGCAGAGACGUUAUAAGUAGCGAAAAGUGACAGAUGACUGUGGUGAAGACAAGAAGCUCAGGCAAGAGGAUGGGAAUACCAGCAGCACAGAUGAGUGGGUCACCCUGAUCAAAAGAUUGCGGCCCUCAGCUGAGAACCUUCCACCUAUCAUGUCAGGCAUGGAGGAAACAUAAACCAGUCGCAGAGCCUGGAUUAGCAAGGACUCCCCCACUGCCGCUGAAAUAUUCAGAGAGUACCCACGGUUUUUGGACAUGCCAAGUCUGGUGGACUUGGAGUUUGGCAAGCUUACAGGAGGAAAGACGGAUCUCUUUUUACGAAAAUGGGAAGCCAGUAUCAUUCCGAAGCUCAAAUCAGUAGCUGCCCUGGAAACAAGAACCCCCCCUCGCGCGCAUGUUAACACACCUGCUCCCAGCAGUUGGUGCCAGUCGUUGCAGCUUUAAAUCAGCUAUAACGCACUUGGUUGAUUUUGCACUGGUAUGUAUUCAGUAAAGUUCACAUGGUAUUCACCUGAGGAAGGCAUUUGUCUACACCUCACUGAAUACUUCUCUAAAAAUCUAUCUUUAUCUUCCCCAUCUCCAAGCCUGGAACAAGUAUUACAUCGUUUUGCAGUGAUCCUGAAGCAUCAUCCACAACACACCAACC
Molecule: long non-coding RNA, 1009 nt
Organism: Oreochromis aureus
Lineage: Eukaryota; Metazoa; Chordata; Actinopteri; Cichliformes; Cichlidae
Source: Ensembl